GGAGGGCCUCAUGGAUAUCUGAUCAAACUCAGAAGAGAAGUGAUGAAUGUCUCUGAUAAUCCCCUUGACUUGAGCCGCAGCUGUAGCACCUUGGAUAGCUCUGAUGAUUAACAAAGAAUCCCCUUCCACUAUGAGAUGCCGAGAGCCUUUUAAUUUAGCUAACAGGAUAGCCUCUCCACAGGCAAGAACUUCAAGGGUAAGGGGAUCUGAAAUUGCAGAAAAUUUCCUACAGGACCAACCCAAGGGAUUCACUCUGAAGUCACCAGCUAUUGCUGCUACUGAUCCCUCUUUCCUCUUUUUCAUCAAAAUUUACGUUAACCCAUGCCAGAGGGGGUGGAGACCAGUGAUCAUGCCAUUGAUGGGCAGAAACACUCAGGCUGAGAAGAAAAGGUUCUAGUAGCUUGAAUA
Molecule: unclassified non-coding RNA, 408 nt
Filed under: Hevea brasiliensis (rubber tree)
Lineage: Eukaryota; Viridiplantae; Streptophyta; Magnoliopsida; Malpighiales; Euphorbiaceae
Source: RNAcentral